CCUACGGGCGGCAGCAGUGAGGAAUAUUGGUCAAUGGGCUUACGCCUGAACCAGCCAAGUCGCGUGAGGGAAGACUGCCCUAUGGGUUGUAAACCUCUUUUGUCAGGGAGCAAAUGGCGCUACGUGUAGCGUUAUCGAGAGUACCUGAAGAAAAAGCAUCGGCUAACUCCGUGCCAGCAGCCGCGGUAAUACGGGGGAUGCGAGCGUUAUCCGGAUUUAUGGGGUUUAAAGGGUGCGUGGGCGGAGCGUUAAGUCAGUGGUAAAAUUGAGGGGCCAAACCCCUUCCCGCCAUUGAAACUGGCGCUCUUGAGUGGAAGAGAAGUAUGCGGAAUGCGUGGUGUAGCGGUGAAAUGCAUAGAUAUCACGCAGAACCCCGAUUGCGAAGGCAGCAUGCCGGCUUCCGACUGACGCUGAAGCACGAAAGCGUGGGGAUCGAACAGGAUUAGAUACCCGGGUAGUC
Molecule: ribosomal RNA, 460 nt
Filed under: uncultured bacterium
Lineage: Bacteria
Description: partial 16S ribosomal RNA
Rfam family: Bacterial small subunit ribosomal RNA
Source: RNAcentral